CGAUGCCAAUGUUGUCGCCUCCACCUCCGCCUCUGUCACAAUUUCCUAUGGUAUGUCACCUCCACCUCCGUCUCAUAUGCCUUAUGUGUUAAAAUAAAAAACUUAGUGGUUAAUAUUUCAUGUGUGUGUUAUAGGGAUUUCAAACACCACCCGCUUCAGUUGCCGCACCUGGAGAUGGGUCUGGUCAAUAUGACGCAUCGUAUUUUUGGGUGAACAACCUUUUCAACACCCAUAGUCCAGCUGGAGGAAGUGGCUAUAACUCAAACCAACCAGGUGAUGGAUAUGAGUGAUAGUUCAUCAAAUGCGUUUGAUUUGAAACUAUGUGACUAUUCAUGUCAAAGACUAUGUGUCGAACUAUGUCAGUUUUUAAUUUGAAACUAUAUGUUGAUGUAAAAAAAUUGUUGCAACUAUUUGGAACUAUAUGUUUGUGAAUAUGAGGUGAUGUUAAAUUUGUGAAUGUGAAUACUUAUGUGAAUUGAUGUUUGUGAAUGUAAUUGUGAAUGUGAAUAUGUGGUUGUAUAUGCAAUCUGUGUACAUGUGUAUGCAAUCUGUGAUUUUUUCUGUAAAUGUCAGAAAUUUAUAAAAACAAUAUUUUUUGCAAUUGCUGAAAUUCGUUAUGUCCGACGGCUUAGUUUAGGCCAUCGGACAUAAGACCCUGUUAUAUCCGACGACCUACACUAAGCCGUCGGACAUAAGAGUUGUGGGUCCCGUCCGUGGUCGUUAAAACGGUUACCGAGAACUAUCUCCGACGGUCUGACGUGGCCGUCGGAGUUACGUUAUGUCCGACGGUCGCUGUCGAACAUAACGCUAUUUUCGAUUUAUUAUGUCCGACGGCUAAAGACUGUCGGAGAUAACGCAAAACCAUCGAAAAUAGUCUAUUUCCGACGGUUUCGUGCUUAUGUCCGACGGCUUUGACCGUCAGAGAUUUUAUGUUUUACUGUAGUGAAAUAUAAUGUAAGGGCCUUUCUCUUUGGCAAACUAGAAUGCAUCCUGGACAAUUGCUUCAUCACCAAUAAACAUCUGAACCAGCAAGAACACCGUUACUAUCCUACUUGAAAAUAUAAACUAUGCUCAAGAUAACAUCAGAAUAGAAAAUAUUUUCCAUGGUAAUGCAAUGUCUCCAAUGUAUCUUCAAUGAAAAUGGACCAAAUUUCAAUGUUAGUCAUGCAAUAAGACUAAUAUUUUAGUUAAACAACUAAACCAUGCAACGUAUCAUAGAGACAAGGAAUUAUAUACAAAAUCCUAACAAUUCAUCAUGCACGGCAUAUAACUGGCAACUGAUUAAACUUCGACAAAUAAACUUUGGACUGACAAGCUCCAUAAUAACAGAAAGAUAAAAUGCACAGAUCUAUUUUCUACAAUAGUAACAAUAUUGUAUGUACAAAAAAAAAAUAUUAAGACACGCAGGAACACACUAUCCUUAGCAGGGGCGGGCCGGCAAAUUUAGAGGCCUUGUCCUAAACUUCAAAAGAGGCCCUAUUUUAUAGAAAAAAUAUAAUCGAAAUUACAUUGUAAUAGAAUUCAUGUAUUCUGAAUUACAAAAGGUUUACUAGAUAACUCUUAUAACUAUUUAUAUUAAAUCUAUCCGUUUUUACGAAUUAUAUUGUAAUAGAGCAUAUAAAGAAACAUACGUAUUAAUAGAUGUAUUUGAAGAGCAACAGUCUAGCUGCUAACUGAGUUCAACUUAGAUGGUGUAAUGUUAGUUUACUUAUUGAUACAUAUUAUUGAGAUAAGAAGUUUUUUAGGCCCUCAGAAUUUUAGGCCCUAUGCGGUCGCAUUUGCCGCACGUGCAUGUGGCCCGGCCCUGAUCCUUAGUUAAGUUAACAAAUAAACUAUGUUCCGUAGGUAGAAAAGCACCAAGAGUCCAAGACAUUCAAAACUUGCUUCUAAGAACAUUUGCAUAAGGAAACAUUGCUUUAAGACCAUGCUAUAGUACAGGUGACAACUGAAAAAAAAACAAAAUAAUAGCAGUUCCUGAAAUGGAAACCGAGAAGAAACAAAAAAAUAUUUGUCUACAUAAGAAAAGGAAAUUAACCAAGAUGAUGCACCCCGUCCGUGCUUAAUAGAUAUUCUCUUGGUUCUCGAAUAUUUGUCGUCCGCUAGUUCACUUUUAAACUAAAACACGAUAAAUAAAAAACGGAUAGAGUAGUAGAGAUAAGUUGGAUUUUUAUAAUCCUAAAAGCAAACAAACGAGGCUAAAACCAGCGCCACCAACACAAAUGAUUAGAUCCCACAGUGCAAUCGAUAGUCUGCAUGGACCGUUGCACCCCAUGUUAACCCCACAGAAGUACUUUGAAGGGAACCUAAACCCGAGACCUUCAGUAAAAUCAGGAUCACAACUGUUGGUAGUGGUACGGACCACUUUUUAUCUACCAUUUGUCUACUAACUCCUCAUUUUGUGGUCACCGGUUACUAUUUGGAGGUUAUUUCUAUUCACCGAGAGGUUAAGCAUUGCAAUGCAUUUUGAGUAGAUACACAUCUAAGUAAAACCAAACAGAUGUCGCUAGGACACUUUUAUUUAUUUAUUUACAUAGAUCGCGCAGCAUCCACCCUUCAAUGUUCUACACUGCCUGCUGGCCACAAAUCUGCAUUCCGUGAUCCAGCAAGAACCCAUGUGCGCACAAUCGUCUGGAAAUUCCAGCUUGCUCAAGGCACUACGGUGCCCCUCAAGUACGAUUGGUUGAAUAAUAACUAGAGAGGAACACUCAAACAUCCAGACGAUAAAGACAUGGAGGCAGAGGAAAACAAACCUGCGCCCACGAGGCCAGCACAAGAUCUAUGUCACGAACGGCACCGGCAGCAAAUCAGGCAACCCCAUGAGUUCGGUGGACAGCGGUAGCCGGUAGCCCCAAACCAAGGGGGACGGACUGAGGAACACAGAGAUGGAGAAAUUGCAAAGCCCCCAAAUGCGAAUAGUGGAUGGGGAGGACGGGGAAGCAGACGUUAAAGGCAUGAAGGUACAAAUCUCUGGCCGAUCACAGCGCCGACUCCCAUCCUCGACAGUGCCGAGACGUGCGGGAGAGGUCGGCGAUGCAGAGCACGUGACCACGCCCUGCCUUGCAUAUAUCCUCUCUCACAAUAGCUGAACAUGGUCCUACGUGGAUGCAAGGGCCCACCAGAGCUGCGACAGAUCGACCUCUUCUCGGUGACGAAGGCGAGCACGGGCUCUUCUCGGUGACGACGUAGCGUGUGGACGAAGCGCGACCGGGUUAGAACGGAUGCUGGCCCCGGCGGUGGAGUGGAACCCACCGUCGCGUUCACCGGAGGGGGGCAACGCUUGUGGCCCCUCACCGGCCACGAUGGAAGGCAAAAUGGGACGCGGCGCAGACUGGUUUGGUGUGGACGGUCGCCUCCACCGAAGGGCAGCG
RNAcentral lists this long non-coding RNA (3368 nucleotides) under Zea mays. RNAcentral describes it as "long non-coding RNA (ZMAY_LNC001980)". The record is from RNAcentral. Lineage: Eukaryota; Viridiplantae; Streptophyta; Magnoliopsida; Poales; Poaceae.